Molecule: ribosomal RNA, 332 nt
Filed under: uncultured bacterium
Lineage: Bacteria
Description: partial 16S ribosomal RNA
Rfam family: Bacterial small subunit ribosomal RNA
Source: RNAcentral
CCUACGGGCGGCAGCAGUGAGGAAUAUUGGUCAAUGGCCGGAAGGCUGAACCAGCCAUGCCGCGUGAAGGUCAGUGCCCUAUGGGCGUUAAACUUCUUGUGGGCGGGAGCAAGAAUGGUCACGUGGGGCCAGACGAGAGUACCGUACGAAUAAGAAGCGGCGAACUCCGGGCCAGCAGCCGCGGUAAGACGGGGGAUGCAAUCGUUAUCCGGAGUUCUUGGGGUUCAAGGGUGCGUAGGCUGUGAGGUAAGUCAGCGGUGAAAUGCCCCCGCUCAACGGGGGGAAGUGCCAUUGAUACUGCCUUGCUGGACUGCGGCUUCCGUGGGAGGACU